RNAcentral lists this ribosomal RNA (468 nucleotides) under uncultured Anaerolineaceae bacterium. RNAcentral's name for it is "bacterial SSU rRNA". It matches the Rfam family "Bacterial small subunit ribosomal RNA", at positions 897 to 1382 of the family's 1533-position model. Lineage: Bacteria; Bacillati; Chloroflexota; Anaerolineae; Anaerolineales; Anaerolineaceae. The record is from RNAcentral.
AAACUUAAAUGAAUUGAGGGGCCCGCACAAGCGGUGGAGCAUGUGGUUUAAUUCGUUGCUACACGAAGAACCUUACCUGGGUUUGACAUAUAGGUUGUAGGGAACUGAAAGGGACCGACCCUUCGGGGAGCCUAUACAGGUGUUGCAUGGCUGUCGUCAGCUCGUGUCGUGAGAUGUUCGGUUAAGUCCGCUAACGAGCGCAACCCUCGUCGUAUGUUAUAUGUGUCAUACGAGACUGCCGGUAAAAGCCGGAGGAAGGUGAGGAUGAUGUCAAGUCAGCAUGACCUUUAUAUCCAGGGCUACACACACGCUACAAUGGUCUGUACAAUGGGUAGCCAAGCCGCGAGGCGGAGCCAAUCCUGAAAGCAGGCCUCAGUUCAGAUUGCAGUCUGCAACUCGACUGCAUGAAGCCGGAGUUGCUAGUAACCGCAGGUCAGCAAUACUGCGGUGAAUACGUUCCCGGGUCUU